RNAcentral lists this ribosomal RNA (460 nucleotides) under uncultured bacterium. RNAcentral's name for it is "partial 16S ribosomal RNA". It matches the Rfam family "Bacterial small subunit ribosomal RNA", at positions 338 to 795 of the family's 1533-position model. The record is from RNAcentral.
CCUACGGGCGGCAGCAGUGAGGAAUAUUGGUCAAUGGGCGCAAGCCUGAACCAGCCAAGUCGCGUGAGGGAUGACGGUCCUAUGGAUUGUAAACCUCUUUUGUCGGGGAGCAAGGCCCGCCACGUGUGGCUGGAAGGAUAGUACCUGAAGAAAAAGCAUCGGCUAACUCCGUGCCAGCAGCCGCGGUAAUACGGAGGUUGCGAGCGUUAUCCGGAUUUAUUGGGUUUAAAGGGUGCGUAGGCGGAAGGUUAAGUCAGCGGUAAAAUGUCGGUGCUAACCACCGGCUUGCCGUUGAAACUGGUCUUCUUGAGUGAGCGAGAGGUAUGCGGAAUGCGUGGUGUAGCGGUGAAAUGCAUAGAUAUCACGCAGAACUCCGAUUGCGAAGGCAGCAUACCGGCGCUCAACUGACGCUGAGGCACGAAAGCGUGGGGAUCGAACAGGAUUAGAUACCCCUGUAGUC